ACGCGGAAGCGAGGCGGUUUGAAGCGCUGACAGGCUGGGGCGUGCUCCGGCGUGCCAUGGCGGCGCUUGGCGCCUACCGCUGCAUCGAAUGCAACAGGGAGGCGGCCGAGCUGUACAGGGACUACCAGCGCGGCGUGCUCCGCAUCUCCAUCUGCCAUUUCAGAAAGCUGUGUGCAUAGGUUUCUCUUCUGGCAGUGCAAAGCCGUGCACUCAUUAAAAUGGAAAUAGAGAUCGUUUCUAUGACUCUUCUACUCUGAGCAUGGCAGCUAAUGUGAAGGCCCAGGGGAGCAGGAUUAGUGGAGGACAGGUUGGAGGAAACAAGUAGCUGAACUGCAGGAUCGGCAGCAGGAGAAAGCUGACCUGCAAGCGAGCACCCUCCUUAAGUGCGUUUGUUUGAGCUGAAGUGGUUGCUGUGAUCAACUGCUCCUGCUCCUCAGCUCUCUGCUAGAAGUUAUUUCCCCCUCAGGUCUGCUAAAAAUCCUGCCAGAAACCUGUGGACAAAUACAUUGAGUAUGAUCCUGUUAUCAUCUUGAUUAAUGCUAUUUUAUGUAAAGCACAAGCAUACAGGCACAUUCUUUUCAAUACAAAGAUAAAUAUUCAUGGGAAGCUCUGCAUAUUUUGUUUGCUCUGUGAAGCUUAUCUCAGGUGGUUGCAACUACAGGAUUCAAGCCAAAAUAUAGAUCCUGAUGACUUAAUCAGAUAUGCCAAGGAAUGGGAUUUUUAUAGAAUGUUUGGUAUAGCUUCUUUAG
This is a long non-coding RNA of Harpia harpyja (harpy eagle), 749 nucleotides long. RefSeq lists it as uncharacterized. NCBI's taxonomy places the organism in Eukaryota, Metazoa, Chordata, Aves, Accipitriformes, Accipitridae. The transcript is spliced from 4 exons. The record is from RefSeq and is a predicted model, not a curated record.